AUGAUGAGCAUCCCCGAACAAAUGCAAAUACAGGGGAGAUGAUUGUCAAGGGUUGUAAGGAAAUAAAUCUAUUAGCAUGGUUCCAGAGAUAAGCGCGUCCUUAAAAUGACCAUAUGCAAAGGUAGUGAUAAUGAGGAUGUCCAGCGGAUUUUCACAUUUGCAUAUCUUCUAAUCAAUCCACUUCCCAUCUGCUGCUUCGUGUAAAGGCCAAGAUCACUGUGUCAAGAUUUUUGAUUCAAUCUUUUGUUUACUCGAUUUCUGUUUUUUAAGUAAGUCAGGCAGCUAACUUAGUGCGCCUGCACCUUUCUUUGUCCUUAACGUACUUGUGGUUUUUUCUGAUAUGCUUCUCCAUGACAGUUUCCCAAUGUCAUUAGUGUCAGUAAAUAGAGGAAAAGCUGAGAACAAUCUGGAGCUGGUCUAGCCCGUCUUUGGCAGCUGGUGACCUUCCUGGUCUGUAUGCUCCAUGACUCUCCAGCCUCGUUUUUUUUUUUUUUUUUCAGUUUGCAGACAGCCCGACUCUCUUUAUCACUUUCCAGGAUCAGCAAUUGCUCACCGACAGUCUCUCAGUAAUGCAUCCAUGCUGGGUAUCUCUUCAGAGCACAGCUAUGUGCUUUGCAAAUGCAACAUACAAGGAGUGAAUACAAGUGAGAGAAAGCUGGGGGAGGGGUGGGGCAGAGAUGGUUGGAGGGAGUUCGUAGCAUUUCAAGUACCAGCCUGAAGAGGAGUAUUUUAAGCUUUACAGGAAGGCAAGAUUUUAAAAAAUUGCCUUCUUUUAAUUGUUAUCAGAGAAGCAUAUCAGCAUAUUUCCCUGAUAUGCUGUUUCCUGUGGACUGUACAGUAUUAGGUUUGCAGGCAUCCUAGAUUGCUGCACCACCAUGAUGCUAGCAUUUUAGUAACAAUGAUAGAUGAUCAAAAAAAUUCAGGUCCUUUCACUAAAAUUAAAAGCUCAGAAGCAAAGAAGAAUUAAAGAUAAUCUCCUAGACAGUUGUGCAUAAGCUCUUAUACUGGACAUGAUAAUACAAACUACGGUAUAACCUCGAGAAACAAGAUCUAUAUUUUCAUAUAACAACACAACAGGAUGUGUUGAAUUUCACUAUUUUUCAUUGACUCGAAUAAGGCUUACCAAUUAUGCAGAGUGAAAUACUGAAAACGUUUAGAGCCCUUCCUGUGAUGCAUGGUUCAUAAGCAUAGUACCACAGGCUUAAUUGGUUGAAUUCCUCUCUUGGCAGACAAGGAACUGUACCCC
Molecule: long non-coding RNA, 1246 nt
Organism: Astatotilapia calliptera (eastern happy)
Lineage: Eukaryota; Metazoa; Chordata; Actinopteri; Cichliformes; Cichlidae
Source: Ensembl